Molecule: ribosomal RNA, 244 nt
Filed under: uncultured bacterium
Lineage: Bacteria
Description: partial 16S ribosomal RNA
Rfam family: Bacterial small subunit ribosomal RNA
Source: RNAcentral
UACGUAGGGGGCGAGCGUUGUCCGGAGUACUGGGCGUAAAGCGCACGGCAGGCGGUCUGCUAAGUUUGGAGUGACAGCUUGGUGGCUUAACUGCCAAAGUGCUUCGAAAACUGACAGACUUGAGGGCCUCGAGAGGGACACGGAAUCCGGGUGGAGUGGUGAAAUGCGUAGAGAUCCGGAGGAACACCAAGGCGGAAAGGCAGUGUCCUGGGGAGUACCUGGACGCUCGAGGUGACGAAAGCCA